GUCUGGGAAGUGAGGAGCGUCUCUGCCUGGCCGUCCAUCGUCUGGGAUGUGAGGAGCCCCUCUGCCCGGCUGCCCAGUCUGGGAAGUGAGGAGCGCCUCUUCCCGGCCGCCAUCCCAUCUAGGAAGUGAGGAGCGUCUCUGCCCGGCCGCCCAUCGUCUGAGAUGUGGGGAGCGUCUCUGCCCCGCUGCCCCGUCUGGGAUGUGAGGAGCACCUCUGCCCGGCCGCCACCCCAUCUGGGAGUCUACAGGUGUAACCAGCAGCUCCGAAGAGACAGUAACCAUCAAGAACAGGCCAUAAUGAAGAUGGCGGUUUUGUCAAAAGAAAAGGGGGAAGUGUGAGGAAAAGAAAAAGAGAUCAGAUUGUUACUGUGUCUAUCUAGGAAAAGGAAGACAAAAGAAACUCCAUUUUGAUCUGUACUAAGAAAAAUUGUUCUGCUUUGAGAUGCUGUUAAUCUGUAACUCUUGUCCCAACCCUGUGCUCGCAAAAACAUGUGCUGUAUUGACUCAAGGUUUAAGGGAGGGCUGUGCAGGAUGUGCUUUGUUAAAAAUGUGUUUGCAGGCAGUAUAUUGGUGAAAGUCAUCGCCAUUCUCCAUUCUCUGUUAACCAGGGACACAAUGCACUGUGGAAGUCUGCAGGGACCCCUGCCCAAGAAAGCCUGGGUAUUGUCCAGGUUUCCCCCGACUGAGACAGCCUGAGAUAUGGCCUCAUGGGAAGGGAAAGAACUUACAGCCCCCCAGCCCUACACCCGUAAAGGGUCUGUGCUAAGGAGGAUUAGUGAAAGAGGAAGGCCUCUAUGCGGUUGAGAUAAGAGCGUGGCAUCUGUCUCCUGCACGUCCCUGGGAUUGGAUGUCUCAGCAUAAAACCGACCAUAUAUUCUAUUCUGAGACAGGAGAAAACCACCUUAUGGCUGGAGGUGAGACAUCAUGGCGGCAAUACUGCUCUGUUACUCUUUACUGCACUGAGUUGUUUAUGUAAGCUUAAACAUAAAUCUAGCGAUUGUGCACAUCCAGGCACAGCACCUUUUCUUAAACUUAUUUAUGACAGAGUCUUUGCUCACAUGUUCCUCUGCUGACCCUCUCCCCACCUUCACCCUAUAGCCCCGCCACACUCCCCUCGCAGAGAUAGUAAAGAUAGUGAUCAAUAAAUAUGGAGGGAACCAGAGACCAGUGCCAGUGCAGGUCCUCACUUGCUGAGUGCCGGUCCCCUGGGCCCACUUUUCUUCCUC
This 1226-nucleotide long non-coding RNA is filed under the name Homo sapiens (human). RNAcentral describes it as "novel transcript". Lineage: Eukaryota; Metazoa; Chordata; Mammalia; Primates; Hominidae. The record is from RNAcentral.